Molecule: ribosomal RNA, 609 nt
Filed under: Sigalphus bicolor
Lineage: Eukaryota; Metazoa; Arthropoda; Insecta; Hymenoptera; Braconidae
Description: partial 12S ribosomal RNA
Source: RNAcentral
UUGUGCCAGGAUUGCGGUUAAACAAUUUAUAUAAAUUAAUUAAAUCAAAUAAUAAUUUUAUUAAUAUUUUUUUUUAUAAAAAAAAAUUAUUAUAGUGAAAUAAAACAUAAUUUAAAAUAAAAAAUUUAAAAUAUUUAUAAAUUAUUAAAUAGUAUUUUUUUAAAAAACUAGGAUUAGAUACCCUACUAUUAUUAUUAAAAAUUAUUUAGAUAUUAAUUAUUAAAUUAUCAAAUUUAUAAAAUUUGGCGGUAUUUUUCUAAUUAGAGGAAUUUAUUUUUAUAACUUGAUAACCCACAAUAAAAAAAACUUAAUAUUUAUACUUAUAUACUAUUGUUUAAUUAAACUAAUUUAAUAUUAUUUAAUUUAUAAUUUAUAUUAUAUAAAAAAAUUCAAAUCAAAGUAUAGUUUAUUAUUAAGAAAAAAUGAAUUAUUUUAAUUUAUAAUAAAGAAAAAUUUUAAAAUUUAAAUUAUUAAAAUUUAAUAUUAAAUUUAAUUAAAUUAAUUAAAUUGAUUAAGUUAAAAAAUAUGUACAUAUUGCCCGUCAUUCUUUUAAAGACAAGUCGUAACAAAGUAAAUAUAUUGGAAAAUGUAUUUAGAAUAAAUUUUAAA